UACGUAGGGGGCAAGCGUUGUUCGGAAUUACUGGGCGUAAAGGGCGCGUAGGCGGCACGGCAAGUCAGGAGUGAAAGCCCGGGGCUCAACCCCGGAAUGUCUUUUGAAACUGCCGAGCUAGAGUGCGGAAGAGGCAACUGGAAUUCCCAGUGUAGCGGUGAAAUGCGUAGAUAUCUGGAGGAACACCGGUGGCGAAGGCGGCAUCCUGGACCGGUAUUGACGCUGAGGCGCGAAAGCUAGGGGAGCAAACCGG
RNAcentral lists this ribosomal RNA (253 nucleotides) under uncultured bacterium. RNAcentral's name for it is "partial 16S ribosomal RNA". It matches the Rfam family "Bacterial small subunit ribosomal RNA", at positions 524 to 776 of the family's 1533-position model. The record is from RNAcentral.